This 468-nucleotide unclassified non-coding RNA is filed under the name Hevea brasiliensis (rubber tree). The record is from RNAcentral. Lineage: Eukaryota; Viridiplantae; Streptophyta; Magnoliopsida; Malpighiales; Euphorbiaceae.
GUAGUGGCGGUGGGAAGUCUGAUGGGUGGAAGGUACCAAAAGGUCACACCCUAAAACUAAACGUGAAGACAACAUGCAAUACUCAAUGAGAGGUGGGGUUUGGAGCGGCGUUGCGGGACUCUCAAGGGCUGGUCGUGGUGGCUGCUUUGGUGUUCAUGCCAACUCAAGUCGAUAUCUUAGCGACAGAAGCUUUAACUCUGUUUCAUGGUCUGAAGUUGGCUGAUUGUUUGAGUUGCAAAAAUCAAUGGGUUGAAUUGGAUCUGCAAGUGCUAGUCAAAGCGAUUCAUUCUCACAGAUUGAUUUUCUCUCCCUGAGCGUUAUUUUGGAAGAAAUUCGAGAUGGAAUGAUUCAAGCUCGUACUAUAGGCUUUCAAUUUUUCUCUAGAUCUUUUGAUUGUACCGCCCAGAGAUGGCGGGUUGGGCUGUGUCUAAUCACAAGAGUUGUGAGUGUGUCGGUAUUUGUUUCUCG